GGAGAGACGCCUCCACCUGGAAUUCUAAUUUCAGGUUCCGUUACUAAGGAAGAGAAGCCACUGACAGCACAGGCCAAGGCAGAGAAUGGCGGAGGAACAGGGUGGUGAAUCCUUAAUUAACAGGAUGCUCAGGGAAGCCAUGCAGGCUGCAUAAAGCUGUUGUGAAAGGCCGCAUUUAGGAUAGAUGCAGCAGCCUCUCAGCGAUAUCACUAACUUCAGGAGGCAGAAAGGCAGUUUCAGAGUUCUAGUCAGUGGUUCUUCAGCACAGACUUGCCUGCAUCUGUGGUUUCGAGGCUCUCCAUGCUGGAAAAAUCUCUGCCAGGACAGCUGGGCCCCACAUCAGCAGACACUCAGGUAGUUCCAUAUCAGUAAUCAAGAGGCAAGAAAACAGCUGACAGAAAUUGGACAUCAGUGUCACCUUACGUAGCAAGAGAGAAUGUUCCCUGGCCCAGGUGAAAAUAAUAAAAGGAAAAUACUGCCACAUGGAGUUGUCGAGCUGCAGCUAAUAUGAAGUAUCUAUAUAAAAAAAAGUCAUCUUUCCAAGUAUACCAUGAAUCUGGACUUCAAUUUCCCACUGAUUUCUUUCCUGCUGCUGACAAUGGUCACAUCACAAAAUCCUGUCUCAUCCACAAUAGGAGGGCUUAAGUUGCAUCACGUUGUCUUCAGAAACUGCAGAGCAUUUGUAGGAUCAACUAACGCAGAAAAAUUAAGUAGAAGUUCAAGGUUAGAUAAAGAACAGGUGAGUGCUCUGGAGGAAAAUAUCAAUCCACAAAUAACCGAGAACAAAACACUGCAGGCACACACUGAGUUACUCUUACCAUCACCGUGGGAAAUGGAAUUGAGGAGAGACGCAUCCACCUUCACUGUCUGCUCUUACCGUCUUAGAUUGGCAAGUUUGAGACCCUGUAAAUGAGUACACGGAAUGAUCAAAAGCAGUUAACAAGGACAUGUUGGUCUCAGAAACACACAGGCUACUUUGGCAUGUGGGAGACUAAGAAUGAAGCCAACAGGAAAAGAAGUAAGAAGUAAAGAUGGGGAUGAAGUCCUGACCGCGCUGUUUGAGCCCCUGACCGAGCUGUACUUCAAACGAGACUAUCCCCUGGACUUUCAAGCAACUUGAGCCGAUAAAUUCCCCUUAUUUUUAAGCCAGGUAGAAUUGGUUUUCUUUCACAUGCAACAGAAAGAAUCCUAAGUGAUAUAUUUAGGAAGUGAGAGGAACUAAACCUGCUAGUUGAAGGCAUCGUCUCUACAGCCAACAAAAGCUCAAGUAGUCAAAUCUGAUAGAUUCACAGCGUGGUCAACGGCGCUCUUCAAUGUCUUUGACUGGAUCUUUCUGUAUUCUUACUUGUGUUCACAAUCAGCCCACAUCUGAUUUUGAUAGAGUCAUUUUUUCUAAAUAUCCCCAAAUAAUCUUUCCCAAUAGAAGGAAUAAAAUAUCUUGAGUUUUAUACACGUGAAUCCCAUAUCUCCAUCUAUUUUUAAGCAUGUCCCUAAGACUCAAAACUCAAAAUUGUUAUUUUAUGAGGAGUCUUAAACAAAAACAAAAACAAAACCUCAAGGGUUUAAUCUGGAAUACUAAUUGGGUUGAAAAUAAACACAAAAAUUCAGCGGC
RNAcentral lists this long non-coding RNA (1612 nucleotides) under Equus caballus (horse). RNAcentral's name for it is "lncRNA (ENSECAG00000060145.1)". The record is from RNAcentral. Lineage: Eukaryota; Metazoa; Chordata; Mammalia; Perissodactyla; Equidae.